AGGCUCUGGGGUGUCACACGUAAGAUUGCAAAUCUUAAGAAGCAAGUAAUUUUGCCGGAGCUUC
Molecule: transfer RNA, 64 nt
Filed under: Cryptobatrachus sp. TNHC-GDC 451
Lineage: Eukaryota; Metazoa; Chordata; Amphibia; Anura; Hemiphractidae
Description: tRNA-Cys
Source: RNAcentral